This 439-nucleotide ribosomal RNA is filed under the name uncultured bacterium. Its description in RNAcentral is "partial 16S ribosomal RNA". It matches the Rfam family "Bacterial small subunit ribosomal RNA", at positions 339 to 795 of the family's 1533-position model. The record is from RNAcentral.
CUACGGGGCGCAGCAGUGAGGAAUAUUGCACAAUGGGGGGAACCCUGAUGCAGCAACGCCGCGUGGAGGAUGACGCAUUUCGGUGUGUAAACUCCUUUUAUAUGUCAAGAAAAUGACGGUAGCAUAUGAAUAAGCACCGGCUAACUCCGUGCCAGCAGCCGCGGUAAUACGGAGGGUGCAAGCGUUACUCGGAAUCACUGGGCGUAAAGGACGCGUAGGCGGGUUGGAAAGUCAGGUGUGAAAUCCUACAGCUUAACUGUAGGAAUGCACUUGAAACUUCUAAUCUAGAGUAUGGGAGGGGGAGAUGGAAUUAGUGGUGUAGGGGUAAAAUCCGUAUAUAUCACUAGGAAUACCUAAAGCGAAGGCGAUCUCCUGGAACAUUACUGACGCUAAGGCGUGAAAGCGUGGGGAGCAAACAGGAUUAGAUACCCGAGUAGUC